This 491-nucleotide ribosomal RNA is filed under the name uncultured bacterium. Its description in RNAcentral is "partial 16S ribosomal RNA". It matches the Rfam family "Bacterial small subunit ribosomal RNA", at positions 29 to 507 of the family's 1533-position model. The record is from RNAcentral.
AGUGAACGCUGGCGGUAGGCCUAACACAUGCAAGUCGAACGGCAGCACAGUAAGAGCUUGCUCUUACGGGUGGCGAGUGGCGGACGAGUGAGGAAUACAUCGGAAUCUACUUUUUCGUGGGGGAUAACGUAGGGAAACUUACGCUAAUACCGCAUACGACCUACGGGUGAAAGCAGGGGAUCUUCGGACCUUGCGCGAUUGAAUGAGCCGAUGUCGGAUUAGCUAGUUGGCGGGGUAAAGGUCCACCAAGGCGACGAUCCGUAGCUGGUCUGAGAGGAUGAUCAGCCACACUGGAACUGAGACACGGUCCAGACUCCUAUGGGAGGCAGCAGUGGGGAAUAUUGGACAAUGGGCGCAAGCCUGAUCCAGCCAUACCGCGUGGUGAAGAAGGCCUUCGGGUUGUAAAGCCCUUUUGUUGGGAAAGAAAAGCAGCAGGUUAAUACCCCGCUGUUCUGACGGUACCCAAAGAAUAAGCACCGGCUAACUUCGUG